RNAcentral lists this ribosomal RNA (460 nucleotides) under uncultured bacterium. RNAcentral's name for it is "partial 16S ribosomal RNA". It matches the Rfam family "Bacterial small subunit ribosomal RNA", at positions 338 to 795 of the family's 1533-position model. The record is from RNAcentral.
CCUACGGGUGGCAGCAGUGAGGAAUAUUGGUCAAUGGACGAGAGUCUGAACCAGCCAAGUAGCGUGAAGGAUGACUGCCCUAUGGGUUGUAAACUUCUUUUAUAUGGGAAUAAAACGUUCCACGUGUGGGAUUUUGUAUGUACCAUAUGAAUAAGGAUCGGCUAACUCCGUGCCAGCAGCCGCGGUAAUACGGAGGAUCCGAGCGUUAUCCGGAUUUAUUGGGUUUAAAGGGAGCGUAGGUGGAUUGUUAAGUUAGUUGUGAAAGUUUAGGGCUUAACCGUAAAAUUGCAGUUGAAACUGGCAGUCUUGAGUGCAGGAGAGGUGGGCGGAAUGCGUGGUGUAGCGGUGAAAUGCUUAGAUAUCACGAAGAACUCCGAUUGCGAAGGCAGUUCACUGGACUGCAACUGACACUGAGGCUCGAAAGUGUGGGUAUCAAACAGGAUUAGAUACCCCAGUAGUC